RNAcentral lists this ribosomal RNA (447 nucleotides) under uncultured bacterium. Its description in RNAcentral is "bacterial SSU rRNA". It matches the Rfam family "Bacterial small subunit ribosomal RNA", at positions 331 to 794 of the family's 1533-position model. The record is from RNAcentral.
CCAGACUCCUACGGGAGGCAGCAGUGGGGGAUAUUGCACAAUGGGGGGAACCCUGAUGCAGCGACGCCGCGUGGGUGAAGAAGUAUUUCGGUAUGUAAAGCCCUAUCGGCAGGGAAGAAAUUGGACGGUACCUGACUAAGAAGCCCCGGCUAACUACGUGCCAGCAGCCGCGGUAAUACGUAGGGGGCAAGCGUUAUCCGGAUUUACUGGGUGUAAAGGGCGUGUAGCCGGGUUGACAAGUCAGAUGUGAAAUCCUGCGGCUUAACCGCAGAACUGCAUUUGAAACUGUUGAUCUUGAGUACUGGAGAGGCAGACGGAAUUCCUAGUGUAGCGGUGAAAUGCGUAGAUAUUAGGAGGAACACCAGUGGCGAAGGCGGUCUGCUGGACAGCAACUGACGGUGAGGCGCGAAAGCGUGGGGAGCAAACAGGAUUAGAUACCCUAGUACA